AUAGGACAGUGGUGCAUUAUUCUAGUUAUAUUAUCUAUUAUGAGGGUGGGGCUAAAAAUCCACUAAAGGGCACAUCGUUGAAGUUUCUUGUUCGUGCGCAAAACGCCCAGUUAUGUGUGCAUUCAGGGAGUAAAGAAAAUAGGGCAGUAUGUAACGGCAUACAUAUAUCGACCCUGUUUUCGCGGAGGCUUAAAUAGAGUAUAUAUUUUUUAAGUUAAACCUAUGUAUAGUGCCAAGACACGAAACAUAGAGUAGCCUGUUUUGAGUGAAAGUAUUGGGAUUAACGUUACAUAAAUUGAAAUGUUAUGGCCAUACAUUUUAUUUUAUCUAGUUAUGAAAUUUCUUUUGCAAAAAAAACUAGUAAUAGAACCAAUAUAUUAAGGAAAACUUCUAGAAUGUUUGCUUGAAAAAAGCAUAGAAGUAUAGGGAUUAAGGUGCGGAUUUAAGUGGCAAUCUGGUAUCUUUUGAAAUAUAAAGAUAUUUUGUUAAAUGGAAACAGCUAAAUAGUAAUGUUUAGUACAAAAUAGAGAAAUUCGACCAGACCUAAACCGUAAAAUUUACUUAUAUUUCUACCACUACUUUAUAUAA
This 588-nucleotide small RNA is filed under the name human gut metagenome. The record is from RNAcentral.